RNAcentral lists this ribosomal RNA (465 nucleotides) under uncultured bacterium. Its description in RNAcentral is "SSU rRNA". It matches the Rfam family "Bacterial small subunit ribosomal RNA", at positions 26 to 518 of the family's 1533-position model. The record is from RNAcentral.
AGGACGAACGCUGGCGGCGUGCUUAACACAUGCAAGUGGAGCGACGAACCAGGGCUUGCCCUGGGGCAGAGCCGCGAACGGGUGAGUAACACGUGGGUUACCUGCCUCGAUGACCGGGACAACCCGAGGAAACUCGGGCUAAUACCGGAUGUGCCCGCAAGGGGAAAGGAAGCUUCGGCCUCCGCAUCGAGAUGGGCCCGCGGCCCAUUAGCUUGUUGGUGAGGUAACGGCUCACCAAGGCUUCGAUGGGUAGCUGGUCUGAGAGGACGAUCAGCCACACUGGGACUGAGACACGGCCCAGACUCCUACGGGAGGCAGCAGUGGGGAAUUUUCGGCAAUGGGGGCAACCCUGACCGAGCAACGCCGCGUGCAGGAAGACGGCCUUCGGGUUGUAACUGCUUUUCUCUGGGACGAGAGCGGACGGUACCAGAGGAAGAAGCCCGGCUACUACGCGCCAGCAGCCGC